UACGUAGGGGGCAAGCGUUGUCCGGAUUCAUUGGGCGUAAAGAGCGUGUAGGCGGCCAGGUAGGUCGGUUGUGAAAACUCGAGGCUCAACCUCGAGACGUCGACGGAAACCAUCUGGCUAGAGUCCGGAAGAGGAGAGUGGAAUUCCUGGUGUAGCAGUGAAAUGCGUAGAUAUCAAGUGGAACACCAGUGGCGAAGGCGAGUCCCUGGACAGAUCCUGACGCUGAGGCACGAAAGCUAGGGGAGCAAACAGG
This 253-nucleotide ribosomal RNA is filed under the name uncultured bacterium. Its description in RNAcentral is "partial 16S ribosomal RNA". It matches the Rfam family "Bacterial small subunit ribosomal RNA", at positions 524 to 776 of the family's 1533-position model. The record is from RNAcentral.